This 651-nucleotide ribosomal RNA is filed under the name Pectobacterium carotovorum subsp. carotovorum. RNAcentral describes it as "bacterial SSU rRNA". It matches the Rfam family "Bacterial small subunit ribosomal RNA", at positions 56 to 697 of the family's 1533-position model. The record is from RNAcentral. Lineage: Bacteria; Pseudomonadati; Pseudomonadota; Gammaproteobacteria; Enterobacterales; Pectobacteriaceae.
UGCAGUCGAGCGGUAGCACAGAGGAGCUUGCUCCUUGGGUGACGAGCGGCGGACGGGUGAGUAAUGUCUGGGAAACUGCCUGAUGGAGGGGGAUAACUACUGGAAACGGUAGCUAAUACCGCAUAACCUCGCAAGAGCAAAGAGGGGGACCUUAGGGCCUCUCGCCAUCAGAUGUGCCCAGAUGGGAUUAGCUAGUAGGUGAGGUAAUGGCUCACCUAGGCGACGAUCCCUAGCUGGUCUGAGAGGAUGACCAGCCACACUGGAACUGAGACACGGUCCAGACUCCUACGGGAGGCAGCAGUGGGGAAUAUUGCACAAUGGGCGCAAGCCUGAUGCAGCCAUGCCGCGUGUGUGAAGAAGGCCUUCGGGUUGUAAAGCACUUUCAGCGAGGAGGAAGGCGGUAAGGUUAAUAACCUUAUCGAUUGACGUUACUCGCAGAAGAAGCACCGGCUAACUCCGUGCCAGCAGCCGCGGUAAUACGGAGGGUGCAAGCGUUAAUCGGAAUGACUGGGCGUAAAGCGCACGCAGGCGGUCUGUUAAGUUGGAUGUGAAAUCCCCGGGCUUAACCUGGGAACUGCAUUCAAAACUGACAGGCUAGAGUCUUGUAGAGGGGGGUAGAAUUCCAGGUGUAGCGGUGAAAUGCGUAGAGAU